Molecule: long non-coding RNA, 1260 nt
Organism: Myotis daubentonii (Daubenton's bat)
Lineage: Eukaryota; Metazoa; Chordata; Mammalia; Chiroptera; Vespertilionidae
Source: RefSeq, a predicted model, not a curated record
UCAGGCCAAUCAGGAGUGGCUCUGACGUACACCCUGAGAGAGAUGAGAUGCCACUAGACCAGAUUCAUUUUCUCAGUUACACUUUAAUGGAAUCACUAGGAGUGCUAUAUGAAGAAGAGACUCUAAAGUCAGGGCAGAAGCAAGGAGGUGUUGGGAGGCUGUUGCAAUAGUUCCCAUCCUGGCCUGGACCGUCCCAGCUGGUGGCACUGGAGAUUUUGAGAAGUAGCUGUAUUCUAGAUGUAGUAGUUUGAAGGUACAGCCAACAAUACAUGCUGUCACUUUGGAUGUGACAGAGAAAGAGAGGGACCAAGAAUGACUCCAUAAUCUUGGCAGUGUUCUAUUGGGAGAAGUGCUGCUAUAGGUGUUACUGUCAGCUGACAGCCACGGACAAGGGGGACUUAUAUCUCUACCACAAACAGUCAUACUGCUGGGCAAAGUAAACUAAACAGCUGUUUUUAGACACUGUACAGAAACAACACAGGGUUUUGAAUCCCGACACAUGGAAACAAAUGAGAUGAGCACCAAAUCCAAACCAGAUUUCUCCCUGGGAGCAUUUUUCAGUCCAUGGCACAAGGACAUAGAGCCCAAGGAGACAGCAGCAGUCUUGCUGGGCAAAGAAAACAGAAAUUAGAAUUCAGAACUGCUACGGGGCUGGAGUUUAGAGGACAGGAAGUGAGAAAGACACUAUGAAGAGCAGAACCCCCCAAAAGAUCUGCCUAUGAAUCCCACUGAGUCUUUGGUCAAAUACAAAGCUGCUUAUGCACAGGGGACUGAGGCUCGGCAGAGAACAACUACUGGGAGACUGCGAGCUGAACAGAUUACAUAUAAGGGGGGUAUCAAUAAAAAUGAUCUCCACCUUCAUAUUAAAAAAUGCAAACCAGAAGACACUGGGAUGACAUAUUUAAAGUCCUCAAAGAAAAAAUACCCACUGAACUAGAAUUCAACAUCUCAGCAAAAAUAUCCUUUAAAGAGGAUCAACAAAAAGUUGAGAGAAUUUAUUACCAAUAGACCUGCGCUACAAGAACAGUAAAUAAAGUUUCUUAGGCUGAAGGGAAAUGAUACCAGAUGGAAAAUUGGAUCUACUAGUACACAAAGGAAUAAAGAGAGCUAGAAAAGUUGCAGGAGUGAAUCCUGUUACUGCAACAGAUGGUUUCUCUUCUAAUGCUGACCAGCACUUAAAAAAACAUAAAUGUUUUGCUUAUUGUCUUGAACUUCAACUUCAGUAUGUAAACACAACCCCAUUAAAGCAAACUGAAACUG